Molecule: small RNA, 653 nt
Filed under: Pongo abelii (Sumatran orangutan)
Lineage: Eukaryota; Metazoa; Chordata; Mammalia; Primates; Hominidae
Description: processed transcript
Source: RNAcentral
CCACGCUGAGCCUGCGGGACUGCAAGCUGCAGGAGGCCAAGUUUGAGCUGAUCACGUCCGAGGCCUCCUACAUCCACAGCCUGUCGGUGGCUGUGGGCCACUUCUUAGGCUCUGCCGAGCUGAGCGAGUGUCUGGGGGCGCAGGACAAGCAGUGGCUGUUUUCCAAACUGCCCGAGGUCAAGAGCACCAGCGAGAGGUUCCUGCAGGACCUGGAGCAGCGGCUGGAGGCAGAUGUGCUGCGCUUCAGCGUGUGCGACGUGGUGUUGGACCACUGCCCGGCCUUCCGCCGAGUCUACCUGCCCUAUGUCACCAACCAGGCCUACCAGGAGCGCACCUACCAGCGCCUGCUGUAGGGCUGGGGACUCUGAAAGGGGCGGGGGCGUGGAGGGAGUCUCAGGCAGGUGUAGGCACUGAGGGCUGGGUGAUGCAAGGUGACUCUGGGAGGGGAGGGGUCCCUGAAAAGAUCUCUAUGACCAGGAUAAGGUGAAAUGCAACCCCAAAGGGCAGUAAGGAUGUGCUGAGAAGCCCCCUGAGGACCCCGUGGAUGGCCAGGGUUGUGGAUCCCAGGAAUUCAGGCCUACCUGUGAUUCCAGAGCCCUCCCCAUUUUCCAGCCUGGAGAACCCCAGGUUCCCUGGCAUCCUGGCUCGCCUGG